UGUUUGUCAGACAGGCAGACACACGUGCAC
This 30-nucleotide non-coding RNA is filed under the name Rattus norvegicus (Norway rat). Lineage: Eukaryota; Metazoa; Chordata; Mammalia; Rodentia; Muridae. The record is from RNAcentral.